Molecule: long non-coding RNA, 966 nt
Organism: Mytilus californianus (California mussel)
Lineage: Eukaryota; Metazoa; Mollusca; Bivalvia; Mytilida; Mytilidae
Exons: 2
Source: RefSeq, a predicted model, not a curated record
CAAUUUACUAGGCAGGUAAAACAGAAUAACCAAUCAUGGAAUAAAGGUGUGUUAUCAAUUACUAGUACAUUUUCAUGUCGCAUGUCGCAUAGUUCUCUUCUCCACCCUUAGACAGUUUUACGCCUGACGAAUGUAUAAACUACUACUACUACUAAUUUGGGUUAAUGACGACUACCCUGUAAUUGAUAACGUCUCUUCACACAUUUUGACGUUGCUGAUGACUUCUCCUCAGACAUUCUGAUGUCCCUGAUGAUGUCUGCUCACGUCUCAAUACCGUGAUACGAUAAUUUCGAAGCGACUGAGCAGGGUGAUAUAGGCCAAACGAAGGACGACAAUUCUAUAUAGCACGUCUAGAUCACAUGCGAGCGGAGUGAUUUUUGGUAAUUUUUCAAUGGUACAUCACACUUAGACAGAACAAUGUAUUUAUUUGAUUGAUUCAUUGUUUAAAGAUUUUCAACAAAACUCUUCAAGGUCAAAAUAAUAGGAUACUAUUUUCCGAUUUUCUGAUUAUUUUAAAUUUUAAUUUUUGAAUGUUGUGGUCAAACUGUGUUAUCAUGGUAUAUGUCAUUCAAAUAAUUAUAAAAAUACAUAAAACAGACAAAUAUUCAUUCUGGUGAAAUCCUAUCGAUAUAGGUAUGUUUUCUUUAGAAAUUGAAUUUGGAAAAUUGGAAGAAGAGGGUUUUGUCAUUAUAAUUCUUCCUAACUUUAUUUAUAUGCUAACUAAAAUAAAUGCUUAAUCGGAACUGUUAAAUUGGUAUUGUUGCACGCUGCUAAUAAAAGAGAGAUACAAUUUAAUUAAUACAUUUUACUUUACACUGCAAUGGUACAAGUUAAUUCACAAGUUAAAUUAUGUGCUUCAAUAUUAAUGAACAUUAACAUUGUUAUUUGUAGGAUUCAUUAUAAUAAUGAUUGAUUGUUUAUUUGUUUUGAUAAUUUCAGACCUUGCAAUAAAGAAUCCAAAACUCA